RNAcentral lists this unclassified non-coding RNA (354 nucleotides) under soil metagenome. Its description in RNAcentral is "partial contains 5.8S ribosomal RNA, internal transcribed spacer 2, and large subunit ribosomal RNA". The stretch from base 1 to 120 matches the Rfam family "5.8S ribosomal RNA", at positions 35 to 154 of the family's 154-position model. The record is from RNAcentral.
GAUGAAGAACGCAGCGAAAUGCGAUAAGUAAUGUGAAUUGCAGAAUUCCGUGAAUCAUCGAGUCUUUGAACGCACAUUGCGCCCGCUGGUAUUCCGGCGGGCAUGCCUGUCCGAGCGUCAUUUCGUCCCUCAAGCCCCCGCGCUUGGUGUUGGGCGUCCCCGCGGGCCUUUACGGCCGGCGGGCGCCCCAAAUGCAUCGGCGGUCCCGCCUGGCGGCUCCCUGCGUAGUAGAAUCUCUUCUCGCAUCGGGUCCCGGGCGCGCGGCCAGCCGCUAAACCCCCCAAUCGUACCAACGGUUGACCUCGGAUCAGGUAGGACUACCCGCUGAACUUAAGCAUAUCAAUAAGCGGAGGA